GAUAAACACCGCGGUAAAAUGAAGAGCAUUGGGAUCACGUGAAUCUGCACGUGCAGCAUGCCGUGUCAUGCUCAACAUCCGGGUACCUCGACCGCAUGGUCUCAUCAGUUGACUGAAAGAUACGGUAGCGAACAUGUCUGACAACGAACUGUUUCUAACACAAUCUACCUUCCGGGGAGAAAGUGACAAUGACGAUGAAGAGAAAACGAAAAACUGAAGCUUUGCGUACCUAAAGGAACUAAAUACAAAAACGACUGGGCGUUGUCUGUGUUCAGUCGCUGGCAGAAGGAGCGCUGUCAACGGCCCAUGAAGGAUAAUAUUGCCCUCUCAUGUGGAUGUCUGUAAACUAACUUAGUGGAUAUGACGCCAGCUGAAGUUAACACGGCAAUGAAAUACAUGUACUUCAUUUUCGAAACCAGAAAAGUGGACGUUACUCCUUACCUAUCAAGUACUCUGUAUGGCUUGUUUGCGGCUUUGUCCUCUGCAGUGAAAAUGUCUGGAUCAAGGAAAGGUUUGUUCGAACAUGAUGAGUUUGCUGAGUGUAGAAAAGCGCUCGAUGCCGCAAUGAGAGAAAGGUCUGCUGCCGGGUUCGGGACGUCUGUAUGUAAACACACGGAGAUAAUAUCGGAGGAGGAGGGGCAACGCCUUUGGGAGAAAGGGAUUCUAGGAGAAGAAAAUCCCCAACAGCUCCUUGAUACUGUUCUUUAUUUGACAGGACUACAUUUUGCGUUACGCGGAGGUAAAGAACGCCGAAGCCUCCGGUUGCAUAGCAACCCUCAGAUCACUGGCCUACAUCAGGACACAGGCGGCCGACAUUAUCUGUGUUACACGGAAGAUGUGUCUAAAACUAACCCGGGAGGAAUGACCCAGAGGAAACUUAAACCUAAAGUAGUUCGAGCCUACGAAAAUGAUGAUUCAACGAGAUGUUACGUCCGACUUUACCAAAAGUACAAGUCGCUGUGUUAAGUGAUGCGUUCUAUUUCACGCCGGUGAAGAGGCCGAAGGAUGAUACAGUGUGGUACCUGGAUGUUCCGGUGGGACAUAAUACUUUGCAGAACACUGAAAAGAAUAUGCAGUCAGGGAGGCAUAGAAGGUCGUAAGACGAACCAUUCUCUUAGAGCAACCGCAGCGACGAGGUUGUUUCAGACAAAUGUUGAGUAACAACUUAUUUGUGAACACACUGGUAAAGUUUAAUGAAUUUCUGUUUACAGUAAGUAGUACGUACGAUGUGUUUGGCAGGAAUAAAUCGUCCAUUUUUGUACUACUUUACACAGAUGGCAAAUAUCUUUUCUUCAGAUCAUAGGAGUGCUGUGCGAACCUACAAAAGAAGCAAUGACGCCCAGAAGGCCCUUGUUUCCGACAUAGUUGCAAAGAAUCCCAGAAUUUCUGCUGAUCCCCAAAACUGCACCACCACCGCCACAACACGGUUGGAUGCUCAUCUCGAGCGUGGAAACAUUUCCGUUACCUUCAAUUUUCACUAAAUUACGUGUACAAUGACUAUUCAGACAUAAAGUGGCAAAGUUUGUUGGGUUUUUUAUUUCCAUUGGUACGUCUGCAUAGACUUGCACAGCAACAUGUUUCAUUUAGUCGUGUCUAUAACAUGUAAUACUCGCAGAUUUAUUUAAUGACAGUUUUGACACAACCAAAACAAACAUUUUGCUGUGUGAAAAAUUCUCAGGGUAUGAGGUUUUACAACGACCAUUGUAAAACUUCGUACCUCGUAUGAGGUUUUACAAUGGUCAUUGUAAAACCACCUGCAACCGUAAAACCUCUACCGAGGUUAUUCCAUAAUGCGAAGCAACUACAAGAACAAUAGACAACAUUGGCCAUAGGUUUAUAAAAUGUCACAUCAGUGACCACGAUGAUGUCUGAUUUCAGUUUCGUUUUUUGAAUGUUCCCAUAUUUCUAGUGAAAAUUGACUUGCCUUUGCAUGUGUUUGCGACCGGUGUCAUCGAUGUGUCAGGAUACACUCACUUCUCGAACACACCUGGUAUCAUUCCAGGUUGAUAGUAAUUCCUAAAGACAUGCGUACAUCACUCGGGGUGAGAGAGUGAAUGAGUAUGUUUUUCGCCGCUUUAGCAAUGUUCCAGCAAUGUUCCAGCAAUGUUCCAGAUAUGUUCCAGCAUUAUCAUGGCAGUGGUCACCAGAAAUGCAUUUACUUUUUGUGUUGCCAGUAGACCCUAGUGACAAAUAUGCAAUGAGGUCCCUGAAAUGAGUUAUUUCGAUUUUUACGUAUUACCUUCAUCUUAAACUGAAAUCUGUGGCAUGGACAGAAAGGUUACGUGGACAAACUCGCACUGGAUGGGAAGAAUCUUAUUUAAUGUUAUUAUUAUUUGUAUUUUAACAUCCGCUUCUUCCUUUUGCACUUGUGGCCUUUCAAAUCAUAGAACGUUACAUAUAUGUCGACUUAAAUGUAUCGAGAUGGAGAUUACCAGAUCCAGGGAUUGGGAUAGAGAACUUUGACAAUGGGCCAUUUUCAGGAUUAUUAGCCAUUUUCUGAAUUUAGAAUGGACCUCUGCCCUUGCAUCAAUAGUAAACUUCAAAAUUUUAAUGGGCCAUGUUUUAUUCUAAUGUGCAAAAUGGGCCAUGGCCCCUGCCUUUCCCAAUCCCUGCCAGAUCAAUAUUUGAUAGCCCUGAAUGUAACUGCGGGCAUCACACUGAAGAUGCGCUUCAUUUCUUCCUCAUCUGUCCUACAUUUAACGACAUAAGAUUAAAUGCACAUUUCUUUACUAGGUUUAAUUUGUCUUCAGUUUUAUAUGGUCAUUCGGACUCAUCUCAAAGGUAAAUCUAGAAUUAUUAAAAUAUCUACAUAACUACAUCAUAUCUUCUCAGAGAUUCUCGCAAUUUACCUAACUUAGUUUUAUUGUAUAUACCGUGCUUUGCUAGUAUCUUGACAUCACAAUAGCUACUAAAUUCUUAAGCUGAGUUUAUUUGCCUUCAAAGAUAUUUUUGUAAAUUCUCACACAUAAUAUUUUCAUUAUUGUCCUUUUAGAUUUCCAUUAUGUUUUGCACAUAGUCUAUGUGGGGUCGUAGUCAAAUGGACCGAAGGACUAAAGGGCCGAAAAAAAGUCUCAUGGGCCGAAGCCAAAUGCCAAAUGGACCCAAAUCAAAAGUCAAAAAGUCCAUAAUAAAAUAGUGUUGAUAGUG
Molecule: RNA transcript, 3147 nt
Organism: Haliotis rubra (blacklip abalone)
Lineage: Eukaryota; Metazoa; Mollusca; Gastropoda; Lepetellida; Haliotidae
Exons: 3
Source: RefSeq, a predicted model, not a curated record